RNAcentral lists this ribosomal RNA (449 nucleotides) under uncultured bacterium. RNAcentral's name for it is "partial 16S ribosomal RNA". It matches the Rfam family "Bacterial small subunit ribosomal RNA", at positions 29 to 523 of the family's 1533-position model. The record is from RNAcentral.
AGCGAACGCUGGCGGCAGGCCUAACACAUGCAAGUCGAACGGAUCCUUCGGGAUUAGUGGCGGACGGGUGAGUAACACGUGGGAACGUGCCCUUUGGUUCGGAACAACUCAGGGAAACUUGAGCUAAUACCGGAUGUGCCCUUCGGGGGAAAGAUUUAUCGCCAUUGGAGCGGCCCGUCUCUGAUUAGCUAGUUGGUGAGGUAAAGGCUCACCAAGGCGACGAUCAGUAGCUGGUCUGAGAGGAUGACCAGCCACAUUGGGACUUAGACACGGCCCAAAGUACUACGUGAGGCAGCAGUGGGGACUCUUGCGCAAUGUUCUAAAGCCUGACGCAGCCAUGCCGCGUGAAUGAUGAAUGUCUUAGGAUUGUAAAAUUCUUUCACCGGGUACUAUAAUGACGGUACCCGGAGAAGAAGCCCCGGCUAACUUCGUGCCAGCAGCCGCGGUAA